This 72-nucleotide transfer RNA is filed under the name marine sediment metagenome. It matches the Rfam family "tRNA". From Rfam's summary of the family: Transfer RNA (tRNA) molecules are approximately 80 nucleotides in length. Their secondary structure includes four short double-helical elements and three loops (D, anti-codon, and T loops). The record is from RNAcentral.
GGGCCCAUAGCUCAGCGGUAGAGCAGUCGGCUCAUAACCGAUCGGUCCCUGGUUCGAAUCCGGGUGGGCCCA